Molecule: transfer RNA, 97 nt
Organism: Puccinia graminis f. sp. tritici
Lineage: Eukaryota; Fungi; Basidiomycota; Pucciniomycetes; Pucciniales; Pucciniaceae
Rfam family: tRNA
About the family: Transfer RNA (tRNA) molecules are approximately 80 nucleotides in length. Their secondary structure includes four short double-helical elements and three loops (D, anti-codon, and T loops). Further hydrogen bonds mediate the characteristic L-shaped molecular structure. tRNAs have two regions of fundamental functional importance: the anti-codon, which is responsible for specific mRNA codon recognition, and the 3' end, to which the tRNAs corresponding amino acid is attached (by aminoacyl-tRNA synthetases). tRNAs cope with the degeneracy of the genetic code in two manners: having more than one tRNA (with a specific anti-codon) for a particular amino acid; and 'wobble' base-pairing, i.e. permitting non-standard base-pairing at the 3rd anti-codon position.
Source: Rfam
GGACGCAUGGCCCAGUGGUAAGGCGCUCGCCUUCGACAUAGGUGGAGUUCUCCCUCGUGGGAGCGAGAGAUCGUCGGUUCGACCCCGGCUGCGUUCA